Molecule: long non-coding RNA, 231 nt
Filed under: Nicotiana benthamiana
Lineage: Eukaryota; Viridiplantae; Streptophyta; Magnoliopsida; Solanales; Solanaceae
Description: long non-coding RNA (NBEN_LNC000890)
Source: RNAcentral
CAGCCUGAGAGUAAUAUAGAGGCUCAGAUUCCAAAGAGGAGGAAGAUGAGCCAGAGAAGGCAAGGAGUUGACAGACAUAAUCCUUAAGAUAGGAAGUAGGAUUAUGUUGUCUUUGAGACUUUCUGGGAGCAGGAACAGUGGGAGAGGGAACUAAAACAGAAGGGGAAACAACAGGACUGAAAGGAGUAGGAAAAGGCAUCUGCACAGAUGUGGGAGAAGAGGGAGGAGAGA